AAAAGUCGUAACAAGGUCUCCGUUGGUGAACCAGCGGAGGGAUCAUUACCGAGUUUACAACUCCCAAACCCCUGUGAACAUACCACUUGUUGCCUCGGCGGAUCAGCCCGCUCCCGGUAAAACGGGACGGCCCGCCAGAGGACCCCUAAACUCUGUUUCUAUAUGUAACUUCUGAGUAAAACCAUAAAUAAAUCAAAACUUUCAACAACGGAUCUCUUGGUUCUGGCAUCGAUGAAGAACGCAGCAAAAUGCGAUAAGUAAUGUGAAUUGCAGAAUUCAGUGAAUCAUCGAAUCUUUGAACGCACAUUGCGCCCGCCAGUAUUCUGGCGGGCAUGCCUGUUCGAGCGUCAUUUCAACCCUCAAGCACAGCUUGGUGUUGGGACUCGCGUUAAUUCGCGUUCCUCAAAUUGAUUGGCGGUCACGUCGAGCUUCCAUAGCGUAGUAGUAAAACCCUCGUUACUGGUAAUCGUCGCGGCCACGCCGUUAAACCCCAACUUCUGAAUGUUGACCUCGGAUCAGGUAGGAAUACCCGCUGAACUUAAGC
RNAcentral lists this ribosomal RNA (544 nucleotides) under Fusarium oxysporum. RNAcentral describes it as "eukaryotic LSU rRNA". The stretch from base 197 to 350 matches the Rfam family "5.8S ribosomal RNA". Lineage: Eukaryota; Fungi; Ascomycota; Sordariomycetes; Hypocreales; Nectriaceae. The record is from RNAcentral.